AGCACAAGAUGAAAAGAGAUUCUGGUGAAGUCAAGGGCGACGAGGAUUUCAUAUAUGUGUUGUUGUCCCUACUUGAUGAUAAUGCAGAGCAGCUUCCCGAUCGCGAAGCUGACACUGUCAUUAAAGCAAUCUGCUUGGUAUAAUAUAUCCUAAUGAAAAGCUUGUGGUGUGUUUGUGUUUGUAUUGUUAUAUGAAUGUCACAGACUCACAGAUUUCUUACUGCUUUUAAUUUGCAGAAUCUAAUCGUAGCGGGUACAGACACCACAGUAGUUACAUUGACAUGGGCUAUUGCUUUACUUCUCAACAAUCCCGAUGUUCUGAAGAAGGCACAAGACGAAUUAGACAUUCAGGUUGGCACUGAAAGGCAAGUGAAUGAAUCAGACAUGAGGAAUUUGGUUUACUUGCAGGCCAUUAUCAAGGAAACAAUGCGUUUAUACCCUGCUGGACCACUUUUACUACCUCACGAGUCUAUAGAAGAAUGCAUCGUCAAUGGUUACCACGUCCCUGCAGGCACCCAACUGUUUGUUAACGCCUGGAAGAUUCAACGCGAUCCAUGUGUUUGGGAGGAGCCAUGUCAAUUUCAGCCAGAAAGAUUUCUUACUAGGCAUAAGGAUAUUGAUGUUGGGGGACAAGAUUUUGAAUUGAUACCAUUUGGGAGUGGAAGAAGAAUGUGUCCUGCAGUGUCACUAGGCCUUCAAGUUAUGCAACUAACGCUUGCUUCAUUAGUGCAUGGGUUUGAUUUUACAACCCCAUCAGAUGAACCGGUUGACAUGGGAGAGGCAAUGGGCCUAACCAUUGCUAAGGCUACUCCGCUUGAAGUGCUUGUUAGUCCACGCCUUUCUGCUUCUUUAUAUGGUUAAAAUUAGCUUGUGUACUUGUUAAUGCAAAUGAUUAAGUUGUACUUGUCAACAACUUAGUGAUAAGGUGCGUUUAUAUCAUUGGGUGUCAUCACUGUGCGUUUAGCACACUGCAUUAAAGGUGAGUUUGGCAUAUUACACUACAUUGUAUUAUUUAACGUUUAGUAAGUUGUUAUUGACUGUAUUAUAUUAACAUUAUAUAUAUUAUGUUAAUAGUGUAUAAUAUUUGGUAUUGUUUUGUACUUUAUUAAUUUUUAUGUAUCCUAUAUUUUGUGUUGCAUUGCAUUGCAUUAUAUUAAUUAUGUAUCCUAUAUUUUGGUUGCAUUGCAUUGCAUUAUAUUAAUUCUUUUGGUGAAAAUUUUAAAUUACAAGUUGGGAAAAAAUUAAUUAGUACUUAGAAAAAUGAUAAAAUAGAUGUUUUGAAUUUUAUAUUUUUUACAUAAAUUAUUUUUAGUAUAAGUGUAAAACAUAUCAUAAUUCUUUUGAACAUAUGUAAAAUUAAGAAAUUCUAAAAUUUUUGGUGUGUGUGUGUGUAUGAGCAGUUCUCAAAUAUUUAUCUUGUGAAAUAAAGAUCCAAGAAAAUAAUUCAAUCAAAUAACCUUUAAAAAUUAUCAUAACAUAAAUAAAUAGAUAAAGCCAUCUCAUAAUAAAGAUCACAACAACAAAAAUUUACAAAUACCACAACAUACUAGAACCCUAAUCACUUAUGAGAAUGAGGUGAAAUGGGAAUGGGGAACGGGAAUCAUGAUAUAUUGUUUAUUUGAGACAAGAAUCGGAAUCGCAAUGGGUUGAAAUCUCAUUGAUAUGUUUACAUUUUCUCUUGGAAUCAGAAUCAUAAUAAGUUGAAUUGUUUCAAGUUACUAAAGUACCCUUAGUUAAUUAUAAUAAUAACUAUUAUUAUUAUUAUUAUGAUAAUGAUUAUUAUUAUUAAUAAUAAACUUUUGUUAAUAUAUUAAUUAAUUAUAUUCAUAUGUUGUUAGUAUAUUAAUUAAUUAUAAUUUAUCAUUAAUAAUAAUAAUAAUAAUAAUAAUAAUAAUAAUAAUAAUAAUAAUAAUAAUCAAAAUAAAAAAUCAUCAUCAUCAACAAAAUAAUCCAUUUCCAAAAUAAUAAUAAUAAUAAUAAUAAUAAUAAUCAUCAAAUUAAUCCAUUUCCCAAAUAAUCAUUGUCAACAAAAAUAAUCCAUUUCCCAAAAACAAAUUAUAGCAAUAAUCAAAAUCGAAAUUGUCAUCGUCAUCAACAACAACGGCAACAACAAUCAUCGUCGUUAGCAGCAGCAACAUCAUCAGAUCAGAACUGUCGCCAUUAGAGACGAAAUCUGAGAUGAAAUGAGAUGGGGGCGAAAUCGAGACAACGACGAAAUUGACACGGCCCAACGGAUAUGAAAGGGGUGGGUGUUUGGAUCGGGUUGACCCGAUCCAAACCAAACUCGAAAUUAAUUUCGAGUUCGGUUCGGUUCGAGUUGAAACUUACAACUCGUUUGGGUUAAAAAUCUAAACCUGAUCGGGUUGUAUUUCGGUUCGGGUUUAACCCGAACCGAAUAAUCAACCUGAUUGGGUCAAAAAAAUUAAAAAAACAAAGUUUAAAACCCGAAUCGAAAUACAACCCGAUUGUGUCAAAAAAAUUAAAAAAAAAAGUUUAAAAACAUAAAUAUAAACCUAACCCUAACCUAACAACUCCCAAACACACACUUCUCACUUUCUGAGCCGCCACUUGACUUCUCCGCUUCUUCUUCUUCUUUUCCUUUUCUUCCUCCACUGACAAAUAUCAUCUUCUUCUUUUCUUUUUCUUCUUCAUUUCUUCUUCUUCUUUCCUUACACGCUGCCAGACAUCUUCUUCUUCUUCUUCUUUCCUUCGGUUGCUGCCAAGCAUCUUUUUCUUCUUCUUAUUCUUAUUUUCUUCCUCCAUUGCCAAAUAAUUCUUCUGCUUUUUUUUUUAUCUCCAUUAAUUAAUUGUUUAAUAAUUUAUUUUUUAAUUGUUAGUUAAUUUCUUAGUUUUCUUUUGUUAAUUUUUUUUGUUAAAUGUUAAAUUUAGAAUUCUAUACAUUAAUCAGUUAAUUUUUAAAUAAGAUUAUAGGAAAUUUGUGUGAUAUUUAGUUAAUUUUUUCUGUUUUUGGAUGAGAUAAAAUUAUGGUUACAUAAUAUAAACGAACUCGAAUUUAUAACCCAAACCGAACCAAAUCGAAUUAAAUUCGGUUUGGUUUGGUUCGGGUUUGUAGUUUGAACCCGAUUGAGUUAAAUCUUCCAAACCGAAUGGGUUGAAACCCAAACCGAAACCCGAACAAGCUGAACUGAAAUCCGAUUUGCCCACCCCUAUAUGUAUGAAUGGCAAAAGGUCGGGUCGGGCUCGGGCUUGGCCAAGCCUUACCCGACCCGAUCAAAAAAAUUUAAAACCCAACCCUAAAAAAACUCGAAUAUUAUUUAGUUAGGGUCGGGCCCGGCUAGGGAUGGUAAUUUUUCCCGUUGGGAUGGGAUCCUGCGGGAUCCCGUCCCGUUUAGGAUGGGAUUGAGACAUAUUUUUUCAUCCCAAAUUAAAAUGGGAUGGGAUAAGGAUAAAAAUAAAUCCCGCUUUUAUUUAUGGGACGGGAGGAGGACCAAUUAUAAAAUCCCAUCUUAUCCUGUAUAUCCCGUUAAUAUUAUAAUUUAAAAUAAAAAGUGAAAAAGUCACAAAUAAAAUUAAUAAUUUAUAGCAAUAAUUACCCUUAAAAACUCAACCAAUUUCCUAAAUUAACACUGCACCCUAAGUGUUGACCGCCCAACGCCCCUUGCCCUCACCACAAAAAUUUUUACUCCGCCACAAAAGUUCCCAAGCAGCCACCCACGACUUGCCCACUACGCCUCUACUAGCAAUUCAUCCACAAAAUUCUCGCUUUUCAGCCUCCACACCGUAAGUUAACAUUCAUAAUUUGGCUUUUUUUGUUUUUAUUGUUCACAGUUUUGUGCUCUUUUCAUAUAAUUGAUAUUUGUUAAAUAUUAUUAUAUUAUAUACGGCAAUCUAGUUGAAGUUGUUAUAUUAUAAUGAUUAUUAUAUUUGUUUAAGUAGUAUUGAGUUUUAAAAUAAAAGUUCUUGUGGUCCCAUAUUAUUAUUACUUUUGUUUUAUAUGGUUUGAUGUUUGUAAAAGGUUAAUUUAUAUUUAAUUCAUUUAUUUGAGUUGUGGAUUGUUGUUUUCUUUUUGCUUUAAAGGAUGGCUUCUCCUCCAGUAGUGGACAAUGAAAGUUUAGAUAAUGAUGAUGUGCAUGUUGUUGAAGAAAACGCCAAAGACAAUGAUUUAACAUCAAGAUUAAGAUCAGUGGUCUGGAAACAUUUUGAAAGAAGAUAAAAAAUGGAAAAAUAAGAGCCUUUUGUAAGCACUGCAAUAAAGACUAUGUUGGAGGUCCUAGAGAUGGAACAAGACACUUGAACGAUCACAUGAAAAUAUGCCCUCGGCGUAAUCAAAUUGAGAUAACACAUUAUUCAAAGAAGUUAAAAACAGUUGAGGAUGAUCAGGGAAAUGUGAAGGUAGAGACUUAUUCUUUGAUCCUGAUGUCACUAGGGGAUUGAUUGCACGUAUGAUCAUUAUGCAUGAGUACCCAUUAAGUUGCGUUGAGCAUGAAUGGUUUAGAAAAGUGUUGUCUUCUUUAAACCCAAUGUGGAAAAACGUAUCUCGCAAUACUAUAAAAAGUGAUAUUAUGGAGCCAUAUGAGAUGGAAAAGGUUAAGGUUGUGAGUUUAAUAGAGAGUAACAGUAGUAAAGUUGCAAUCACAACCGACAUGUGGACUUGUGGCUCCCAAACAAAAGGGUACAUGGCUAUUACAACACCUUUAUUGAUGAUUCUUGGACCUUACGGAGUCAAAUUUUGAGGUACUAUGUUUAAUUCUAAUUAACAUUGAAAUAUUUAGUGCAUUAUAUUUAUUUAUUGAAUAUAUUUGUAAUUAAUUGUAUUUUUUCUAUGUAGGUUUAUUCAUGUGCAAGCUCGACAUACUUCUCAAGUACUUUGUGAUAUACUAUUGAGAUGUUUAAUGGAUCUUAAUCUUGAGCGUAAGUUAUCUGCAUUAACUGUUGAUAAUUGCACUACUAAUGAUCGAAUGAUUCAACUUCUACUAGAUAAACUUGAUAAAAAUGAUUUUCUUAUGGGUGGCAAGUUGUUUCAUAUGCGAUGUACUGCUCACAUUUUAAAUUUGAUUGUCAAAGAGGGGUUAAGUGUUAUUAGUGAUGGUGUUGCUAAAAUUCGUGCUAGUGUUGCAUUUUGGACAGUUACCCCUCAAAGAAGGGAAAAAAUUAAAGAGAUUUCUCGUAGGUUGAAUAUUCCAUGUAGUAAGGAGUUAGUUCUUGAUUGCAUCACUAGAUGGAACUCUACUUAUCUCAUGAUUUCUGUUGCCUUGGAGUAUAAAAAUGUCUUUUAUAGAUUGCAUCAAUUGGAGGCACAAUAUAGGUGUUUGCCAAGUGAAAGUGAAUGGGAGUUAGCUCGUAUAUUGUCAAAUAAUUUGAAAUCAUUUUAUAAUGUGACUGAGGUAUUUUCUGGAACUAAGUACCCCACAUCCAAUUUGUUUUUCAUUCAUAUUUGUGAGAUUAGAUUAUCAUUAGGUAGUUGGCUUACAUGUGAGCAUGAUGAAGUUAGACAAAUGGCAACUAACAUGAUUGGCAAAUUUGAAAAAUAUUGGAAAGAUGUUAAUGGGGUAUUAACCGUGGCAACAAUGUUGGAUCCUAGAUAUAAAAUGAAAUUGAUUGAGUUCUACUUUCCAUUGUUAUAUGGUGAUGAAUCAAAUAUUCAUAUUGAGAGAGUUCAUAUGCUUUUAAAGGAAUUAAUAAAGAAGUAUGAAUUUAAGGCCAAAUUAUCUGUAAGCGGUCCUAGCGCGGGUGCUUUUAGUUCUAGUAUAGGAGAGUCCUCAGUCGUUAUGUCUCAUGUUGAGGAACAACUUUCAAGUAGGUAUGAUGAUUUUUUGAAAGUCAAUAUGGUUGAGAACCGUAAGACUGAGCUUGAGUCAUAUUUAAGUGAAUAUGUGUUGAUUAUCAAGGACAAAAAUUUUGAUAUUUUGGGGUGGUGGAAAAUAAAUGCAAUACAAUAUCCUUUGUUAUCUACUAUUGCUAGUGAUAUACUAGCAAUCCCAGUGUCAACAGUUGCUUUUGAGUCAGCUUUUAGCACAUGUGGUAGAGUAGUUAGCCCACAUCGUAAUAGACUACACUCACAAACAGUGGAGGCAUUGAUGUGCACUCAAAGUUGGUUGAAUGCUUACACAAGAGGUAAUUUAUUUUAUUGUAAUUUAUGCAUAUUUUAAAUGUUCAAACUUUUUUUAUUUUCUUUUCUAGUUUUUAAUUUUUUUUUUUUUUUGUUUUCUAAGACAAUGGGCAUACAACUUCUAGUGAAAAUCCUACAUUUGCAGAUGAAGAAAAAGUUGAUGCAGAGAUUGAAGAGGUAACUGAUUUUAUUAAUUUUGAACAUUAAUGAUUAAUUAUUAUGUAAUUAUCAAAAUAUUAGUCUUACUCUAACCUCUCUUUAUUAAAUUCCUGUAGGUUUAUACAGAAAUUUGAAAGUGCGGUCUUGAAAGUGUGGUUAGAGUAUGAAGUUUUCUUGUCUAAUGAAGUGGGAACUGGAAUUGAAGUCAACUUUUGGAAGAUUAUGUUAAUUUUUAACUUUUGCUUGAACUUUGGAACUUAGAUUGAUUUGGAUUAGCUUCAGAACUUUGAAUUUUUUGUUUCUUUAUUUGCUAUAUAUUGAUUUAUGACGAUCCUUAAAAGAAAAAAAUUAAAAUUUAUUUAUUUACAUUUGGGACUAUUUAAGAUAAUGGGAUGGGACGGGAUAUUUAAUGGGACAUGAUUGGAAUAAAUUUUUGUCCCAAAAAAAAUAAAGGGACGGGAAUGUGACUUUUUUUAGUCCCAAAUCAAUAUACGGGACAGGACUGGGAUUGACAAAUCCCGUCCCAUCCCAUCCCAUUGCCAACCCUAGGCCCGGCCCAACCCAACCCGAAUCGUUUCAACAUCGGGUCGGGCCCAACCCGACCCUACCGAAAUAGUUAACCCUCCCAUUUCCCACCACCAUUUCAACAAAUUCGGCAAUUUCUCAACCAUUUCAAACACAAUUCAAUUCCACUUUCCACAACCAUUUCAACCCCACACACAAAUCAAUUCCAAAAUCCAACAUGAAAAACACACAAUGUAAUUCCACAACCAUUUUAGCCAUACACAAUUCAAUUUAACAAUCCAACAUAAAAAAUAAAAAAUAAAAAACUCAUGUCUUAUACAAAUAAAAACACACAAUUUAGUUCCACAACCCAACAUUAAAAAAAAUGUAUUAUACAAAUAAAAAAAACUCAUGUCUUAUACAAAUAAAAACUCAUAAUUCAUAAAAACACACAAUUUAGUUUUUUUUUAAUAGGGUCGGGUCAGGUCAGCUUUAAGCCCGACUCUGACCCGAAAUUUGUUCGGGCCUUAAACUUUUGACCAUAACCCGACCCUAACCUCAAAAAUUCGGGUCAAAUCCCUAAAAAUUAGAGCAGGUCGAUCGGCCCAAAAAUAAGGUCGGGCUAAAUUGCCAAGCCUACCUACAUAAAACUGGCAACCAGCAGCUGUCCACAGCCGAUGGACCACGAUGGCAAAGAUGGUGAUGGCCGUGAUGGCGAUGGAAGCACUCCAAUGGCAUUCGAUUGGGAGGCACAGGCAAGAGAGUUUAAGUUUUAGGGAUUUUUUUAUUUUUCGCUUUUUAUAUUUUUUUAAUCUAAAGCGGGGGUAUUUUUGGAAUAAUAAAAAAUUAAUGCGGGUAAAAUGGAAAAUGUUGGGAAUGGGAAUCAGAUUCCUAUACUUAUUCUCAAAUUGCUGUGGGAUCCACCAAAAUGAAUCUCAUUUCGGAUUCUUUCCUAGUCCAUUUUUUUUCUCUCUUAAUCUCUCUCAGUAUUUCAAUUCUAGUUUUAAAAAAAAUUGACUUAAUGGUAAACAAAGUGAAACAAGUCUGCCUAAAUUAUUAACAUUAAAAUUCAAAAAAUUCAAGAGUCAAGACUACUCAUUUUAGAGGCUAGUAGAGAAAAAAGAUUUGAAGAGGAUUCACGUUCAAAAAUAUAAAUGAUACAUCAUACAAGAUCCUUAAACAUUAUAUGAUAUGUCAUUACAUUUAUAAAUGAAGAGUCAUUCAAUUUUCACUAUGGAGUAAAGAUUAUACAAAAUGUUAUCUGCCAUAAAACUAUAAACGACAUAUAUGAAUUUCAGACAAGUAAUUUUACUCCAAGUAAGAAUCAACAACAUUUUACCUAUUUAGUAUCUUAAUUUCUUUUGAAUUCCAACUGAAGUAACAUUUAUUUAUUAAAUGGUAAAUUAAAAAUUUCAUGAGUUAUGAAGUUCAUCAUAAUGAGUCAUAUAAUAUUGAGAGUCAAGUUGAAACUCAAAGAUUAAAACUCCUAAAUUAGCUAACAUAAAAUUUAGAAACUCAUUAAAUAUGUAUAAAUGUUUAUAAUUAACUUAUUUUGCAGCUAAUUUUUCCAACUUAAAAACAUGUUAAUUCCAAAGGUCCCUUAAGAUGAAGAUUCCUAAUUUCACCUUAACCUUGGUAUGACAAUAAGCUUGACUUGAUAACCUUAAAAGGGUAAACUAGAGCCUAUAAAACUUAAUGGAACAAGUGUGAAAUACCUUCUCAAUAUACUGAAAUGAAUUUCCUACCACUACAAAAUUUUAUAAUUCUCAUUGAAAUUAAAAAUCCCAAAAAUUUAACAAUAAUUCUUAAGACUUUGAAAACGAAUGAGCGGGAAACACUGAAACUUCAUACACAAAAUUCAAGUGCUUGUAGGUAUCUAAAAGUAUAAUAGCAGAUUAAGAAUGGAAUAGACUUCAUGGGCGAACUGGAACUCCGGUGGCUGGGCGUGGCGCUUGACCAGGCUGACCAGGCUUUGGCAAAUCAUCCUGAAAGAAAAGGAAAAAAAGAAAAAGAAAACAAAAUAUAAGAGCCAAUGAAGAAAAUUUUCAAGUACGCGAGCACAAACGAAGACCAUAUAAAACUGACAAGCUUAACCAUUUUUCAAAUGCUACAGAAAUCACACAGCAACUAUCCCAAGACCAAAAACAUCCUCAAUUUGGGCUUUUACCACACAGAGACAUAACACUGUCUCCUUUUUUUCCCUUCCCCCCGCCCCCUCCCUCCCUCCCUCUUAGGCUAACCCAGAAGUAAGCUUUUUUAACAGGCUGAAUGAGGAUAUUACUACUGGCAAGGAAAUCCUUGUGAUAAAAUAGACUAGGUAAGUGGUCUAUCUGCCUACAUCUAUAAACCAUAAAUCAUUCUAAAAAUCAAUAUGAACAGAGAGCAUUAGCCAAAACCCUGAUUAAAAAAUCUCAAUAGAAACAUGAAAAAGAUACCCUGCGUCUCAUAAAACGCUUUGGUGGUUCACGGUUCCUGCGGUCAGUGCGCGAGCGAACCCUCACCACAUGCGAGUGAAUUGCACAGGAGACACAGUACUGCAUCUUUGCAUACAACUUAGGCAGAACAUAGUCUGCAUCAAAUAUAAAAGAUUCCCAUUAUUUCCCAUUCAAACAAUACAUAAUUAAUUACAAAAUAAGAGAAAUAAUAACAUGUGUAGUAGAUAUUUACUAUCAUAGAUGCAGGCAUCCUGCACGUCUCUGACAGCAGCUUGCUCAACAAUGUUCCUCACAAGGAACCUCUUGAUGGCCUUGUCCUUUUCAUCCAUUCACAACCCAAAAUUUAAAAAAAAAAAAAAAAAUUGUGUCAAACUACAACAAACAAAAGGCAUAUAAAUUAAUUUUUAAAUGCAAACUUAACAUCAUUAAUUUUUAGUAACUUGGAAGUGAGAAGACGGAAUAAUUAAAUAAUAUUUGUGUUAUAAGAUAUGAUAAAAAUCAGAUGUCUAAUUGUAACUGGUAUUCCUAACCAUCGUGGUAGCGGGGAUGCGCGGAUACCAAUAAACAACUCUAGUCUAGUCUAACUGUAUGAUUUGACCAAUACAUCCGCAAAAUUUAUCAUGACACGAUUUUACAAAAAUAUGGAAGAACUGAAAAAAUGAAUCUUCUUUCCCGUAAUGCCACACAAUUGCCUCAUUUGGCAGGGAAAAAUUCUCAAUGUUGUUCAUUUUUAUCAAAAUAAACAAAAAAAAAAAGGGAAUCAUAUAAUACUAAUAAUAAAAAAACAGAUACAAUUUUAAUUAAUGAAAGCGAUACAAAAAUAAAAACAAAAGUGUAUACUUUGGGGCAGCAUUUGCCGUUCCGACGCUUGAAGGUCUGCCACAGAAAAAAAUAAAUAUAAUAAAUCAAAUUUAUAUUAAACAAAAAAAAAUUCUUCUUUUUUCAAUAAUAAUAUUUUUGGAAAUCAGAAAGAUAAAACAUUUUCGCAAACCAUUCUGUUUUCUUCAAGGGAUGAUCUCCCCUUUCCAAUUUUUGACAACCACGCCUAACCCAAUCAUCAUUUCUUCUGAAGUUGACAUUGCUGCAAGAGUAAAAAAGAAUGUUGAAAUUGAAUUAUUAAUUUGGAAGAAUAUCAUGACGCAAUUAAACAAAAACUGAAUAUUUUAUCUUUCCUACUCUCUCAAUAAUUUUGACUGCAUACUUUUUCUGAAAAAAAAAACAAAAAAAACUCAUAUCUAGAUUCAGUCACAAAGCCAAAUCUCUCUAAUCAUACGUCUAUAUUAAAAAACACAAAUAAGAGAUUCCAAGAACUUGUUAACACCCUUUUGGAAUAAUUGAUUCUAAGGGUGAAAAAAAAAAUUGGUAUUUAAUAGAAUUUUCGUAAUGACAAAAAGUAAAUGGACCCAAGUGAUAAAACAAUAUAAUUGAUGGACAAAAGAUCAUUUUUCAUUUGUGUUGCCGACACCGUAGUUUGGUUUACGCUUCCCGACCCAUGAUAUUCAAGUCCAGUUACCUUUGUCAUCCCAUAAAAUUGUCCAUAAUUAAAAUAAGGCAUGUUUUAUAUUCUGUGGCUAAUAUUUAGAGCAAAUGAAUUUUCCAAGUCCUCCCAUAAAAAUAUCAUAUCCCAACAUAAUCUUCAACCAUUUUAAUGGUUAAAAUUACAAGAGAAGUCGUAUCUAUGUUUUAUCACAAUUGUUUGGCAACCACCAAAUUGGCCGUAUAAAGCCAUUGAUGAAUCAGAAAAAGAUACCAUUGUCGAAAACUUGGCCAUUGUGGUCCCUGAUGUAUAAAACUGACCAUAGGAUUAGCAAAGGUUUGUCAAUGAGCAGAACUUACGUUCACGUCAAGCACACUUAAAUGUUAUCUAUAUACUGUAUAGACAUUGCUCUGAACUAAACUCUUGAUUCAGAGUCCCCGAGUCGGCUGCAAAGGAAUGGCCAUGAAUAAUCUUUCAACAGAAUCGACUGCUGCUGUAGCAAUUUCAGCCUUAGUGAUAUUCCUCUCAAUUUUCCUCUUGAUUUCAAGAAAUGGGCAAAAAAGGACACUCAAGAAUAAGCAAGCUCAACAAGCACCGGUAGCAGGGGGAGCAUGGCCUUUGAUAGGCCACCUACAUCUCUUACGAGGGCCAGAGCCAGCUCACAGAGUUUUGGGCAACCUGGCUGACAAAUAUGGAACAAUAUUCACUAUGAAGUUGGGGGUGAAACAUGCUUUAGUGGUGAGCAACUGGGAAAUUGCUAAGGAGUGUUUUACCACAAAUGACAAAGCUUUUGCAAGUCGCCCCAAAACAAUGGCCGUAGAGCUUAUGGGGUACAACUUUUUGGUCAUAGGCUUCGCACCAUAUGGCAAGUACUGGCGUCAGUCACGUAAGAUAGUGACAAUUGAGCUUCUGUCAAAUUGUCGCCUUGAGAAUCUGAAGUGAAGGCUUCAAUCCAGAGGUUAUACAAGAAUUGCAUAAGUAGCAGCAGUUCACGUAAAGUAGUUUCCGUGGAGAUGAUCCAUUGGCUCGAGGGCACAGUACUUGACAUUAUUUUGAGAAUAAUUGCCGGAAAACGUCACACUUCACAAUCAGAAGAGGCUAAUGAUUGGCAACGGCAAAUAACAAAGAUCGCUGCCUUGUCUGGUCAGUUCGUGGUGUCCGAUGCGUUGCCCUUUCUGAGACGGUUAGAAAUCGGUGGAUAUGAGAGAUUAAUGAGCAUGACAGCUAAAUAUUGCGACAUCAUUUUGCAAGAAUGGGUGGAUGAGCACAAGAUGAAAAGAGUUUCUGGUGAAGUUAAGGGCGACGAGGAUUUCAUAUAUGUGUUGUUGUCCCUACUUGAUGAUAAUGCAGAGCAGCUUCCGGAUUGCGAAGCUGACACUGUCAUUAAAGCAAUCUGCUUGGUAUAAUAUAUCCUUAUGAAAUGCUUGUGGUGUGUUUGUGUUUGCAUUGUAACAUGAAUGUCACAGAUUUCUUAUUGCUUUUAAUUUGCAGACUCUAAUCGUAGCGGCUGCAGAGACCACAGUAGUUACAUUGACAUGGGCUAUUGCUUUACUUCUCAACAAUCCCGAGGUUCUGAAGAAGGCACAAGAUGAAUUAGACAUUCAGGUUGGUACUGAAAGGCCAGUGAAUGAAUCAGACACGAUAAAUUUGGUUUACUUGCAGGCCAUUAUCAAGGAAACGAUGCGUUUAUACCCUGCUGCACCACUAUUAGUACCUCACGAGUCUAUAGAAGAAUGCGUCGUCAAUGGUUACCAUGUCCCCGCAGGCACCCAACUGUUUGUUAACGCUUGGAAGAUUCAACGCGACCCAAGUGUAUGGGAGGAGCCAUGUCAGUUUCAGCCAGAAAGAUUUCUUACGAGGUAUAAGGAUAUUGAUGUCAGGGGGCAAAAUUUUGAAUUGAUACCAUUUGGCAGUGGAAGACGAAUGUGUCCUGCAGUGUCAUCAGGCCUCCAAGUUGUGCAACUAACGCUUGCUUCAUUAGUGCAUGCGUUUGAUUUUACAACCCCAUCAGAUGAACCGGUUGACAUGGGAGAGGCAAUGGGCCUAACCAUUGCUAAAGCUACACCACUUGAAGUGAUUCUUACUCCACGCCUUUCUGCUUGUUUAUAUGGUUAAAAUUAGCUUGUGUACUUGUUAAGGCAAAAAUAAGUUGUACUUUUGAACGACUUAGUGAUAAGGUGCGUUUAUAUCAAUGGGUGUCAUCACCGUGCGUUUAUCACGUUGCAUUAUAUUAAAGGUGAGUUUGACAUAUCAUAUUACAUUGUAUUAUUUUACGUUUAGUAAGUUGUUUUUUAUUGUAUUAUGUUAACAUUAUAUUAUAUUAAUAUUGUAUAAUAUUUGAUACUAUAUUGGACUAUAUUAAUUUUUAUUUAUCUUAUGUUUGGUGUUGCAUUGCAUUGCAUUACAUUAUAUUAAUUAUUUUGGUGAAAAAUUUAGAUUAAAAGUUGGGAAAAAAUAUUAAUUAGCACUUAGAAAAAAUGAUAAAAUAGAUAUUGUAAAUUUUAUAAUUUUUUACAUCAAUUAUAUUUUAGUAUAAAUGUAAAAGAUAUCACAAUUCUUUUGAACAUAUGUAAAAUUAAAAAAUUCUAGCCGUUCUCAAAUAUAUAUCUUGUGAAAUAAAGAUCAAAGAAAAUAAUUCAAUCAAAUAAUCUCUAAAAAUUAUCAUAACAUAAAUAAAUAGAUAAAAGCCAUCUCAUGAUAAAGAUGACAACAAAAGCAUUUGCAUAUACCACAACAAACUAGAACCCUAAUCACUAAAUAAAAUGGAUAGAACAAUGCACCAAACUGAGUUCAAUUUAUAGCUGGAGGACGUUCUAAUUCUGUUGGUUCUUCCAGGGCUCUGGCUCACUGGUGGUGCCAUAAGCCCCUAUGGACGGGCCCUCUUCAUGAUGUUACACACAUCACAGAAAUUAAAUUCAGCUGAGAAGUGGGAUGGGUUGGUAAUGGCACAUGAACUGAUCUGGGAAAAAUUUUAUCACGGAUGAUAGAUGAAAGUGACCCCAGAUUGCCAUUUGGAUACAUCAAACUGGAUGAGGUCCUUGACUUAAGUUAAUUUCUUCGGUUUGUUAAAUGACAAUCCUAUUCUUCUGUCAUUUAUUCUGCAUUGUUGUGUUGAAAUUCCAUGUAGUUGGUGAUUUUUCUAACUUCAUUAGAUGGCAAGCAGUGCAAGGAUGAAUUCUCCUUCCCUAGAGACCAUGAUGAGCGCCAUGCAAAAGGUAUUCUUGCAGUAGACUCUUUAAAGUGUUUAUUACAUACCAAGCCUUUGUGUCAUAUGAAGGAUUGACAUCUUGGGAAAGCUGUAAAAAAAGGCAGCUAUUCUUCCCUCAACUGGGUAUAAAGAAAGGAUGUCCACAGCUCCAUUCUGCAUUUCCUUGUAUGACCAUGCCUAGUGACUAUUGCAGGAGGGAUGCGUAGCAAGUAGGUCACACAUUGCUUCCAAUGCAAUCAAGACAAAUUGUCCCAUGGUAGUAUGCAUCAGGAUCGCCAAGGAACUUCAGGGCUGCCAGAAAACAUAGGCUAAGUGAUGUUGGUAUGGACAAGACUGGUAGCAGAAGCCAUGCCUAGCUUUUCCGGAAGCAAUCAGAAUUUAGCGAUGUAACUGCGUCUCCGUAGACAGGAGUUGAUUGCCCAUAUGCACCCAAGGGAUUUUUUUUUUUUUUGGCCAACUGCAAGAUUUUGAACGAACGGAACGAAGGCCGCAAUGAAUUAUGAAAAGGGUGGAUUAAAAUGAUUUUAAUUAUAUUGACUUGGAAGAAACCGAUUCCUGAGUUUCAGUAAAAAAUUAUGAAUUGAUUUUAAUAUAGUUUCAUACAUGGUAUACUUUGACGCAAUUAUCACCGAUUAACUAAUAUAACAUAAUUAAAUUUAAAUUCAUUUUGUUUAAAUAAAUCAAUACACAUCAUAGCUGAAAAUAUAGACUUAGGAUUCUUUCCUAGUCUUUUUUUUUUCCCUCUCGUAGUCUCUCUCAAUAUUCCAAUUCUAGUUAAAAAAAAAAUGACUUAAUUGUAAACAAAGUGAAACAAGUCUGCCUAAAUUAUUAACAUUAAAAUUCAAGAGUUGGUCUAUGGCUGGUGGGCUUCCUAUUCUCAGUAAAAUCUCGGCUUGCAGCUUAGAUUUAGUUCGGUGGGGCUAUCAUCGUGCUCGGGAUUUCAAAGCUCAAAUUAAGAAGUGCAAGGAUAAAAUGCAUCAGCUUCGGGGCAAGCGUGAUGAAGUCAGCUUGACUGACUUUAUUGAAGCUCGAGAUAGGUACAAUGAGCUCUUGCAUAGCCACGAAGUUUAUUGGAAGCACCGUUCGAAGACGUUUUGGCUUCGGGAUGGGGAUUCAAACUCAAAGUUUUUCCAUGCCAUGGCCUCAACUAGGAAGUGUACGAAUACCUUAAUCAAGCUUCGCAAUCAAGAGGGGCAAUGGUGUACUAAUCCUGAGGAUGUAAAUAAUUUAAUUUGUGAGUAUUUCACAACUUUAUUUACUGCUGGGAUUUGUUCUUAUGGUGAUGUGCUUAAUUGUGUGGAAUCUAAAAUUACUGAUGCACAAAAUCAAUCUCUUUUGGAACCUUUUGCUGCUGAAGAUGUUCAAUCUGCCGUGUUUGAUAUGCAACCUGAUAAGUCCCCUGGUCCUGAUGGAAUGAACCCAGCAUUUUACCAAAAGUUUUGGAAUGUUGUGGGUACUGAUAUUACUGAGGCGUGUUUUAGGUUCAUUCGGGAUUGUUCUUUCCCUGAUGGGCUUAAUGAGACUUCUAUUGUCCUUAUUCCUAAGAAGAAACAAAUAGAGUUCUUAACUGAUGUUCGACCAAUUUCCUUAUGCAAUGUCCUCUAUAAAAUUGUAGCCAAGAUGCUUGCUAACCGUAUGAAGAUGGUUUUAGGAUCGAUAAUUUCCGAUUCUCAGAGUGCUUUUGUUCCAGGCAGAGCUAUUGCGGAUAAUGUAUUAAUCUCGGCUGAGAUAAUGCACUUUCUUAAACGGAAACGUUAAGGAAAGGAAAGGAGGGGAUUGCUGCUUUAAAGAUCGACAUGUCCAAGGCUUAUGAUUGGAUUGAGUGGGGGUUUCUUAGAUCGAUUUUACUGAAGUUGGGCUUUGAUGUUGGUUGGGUGAAUCUUAUUAUGCUAUGUGUCACUACAGUUACCUAUAAGAUUACCCUGGAAGAGUUGGAGCUGGGCCCUAUCGUGCCAAGUCGAGGUCUUAGACAAGGAGAUCCGCUAUCGCCAUAUCUGUUUAUCAUCUGUGCAGAGGGGCUGAGUUUGCUGAUAAAUCACUAUAAGAGGGCUGGGAUGAUCCAUGGGGCUCGAGUUGCUAGAGGUGCUCCUUUGGUUUCUCACCUCUUUUUUGCUGAUGACUGUUUUCUUUUCUUUAAAGCUACUGUUCAUGAGGCUCACCUGGUAAAAAAGAUUUUGGCAACUUAUGAAGCAGCUUCGGGGCAGCAAGUGAACUACAAUAAAUCCUCAGUUUCUUUCAGUAGGAAUAUGGUCGAGGAUACUAUUCAUAAUAUCUGUCAACAGCUUGGAGUUGUAGCUACUACAGACCAUGGUACCUAUCUUGGAUUACCAUCAUAUGUUGGGCACAAGAAAAUAGACAUUUUCAGAUACAUAAAGGAUAAAGUUUGGCAAAGAAUUCAAGGGUGGCAUCAGAAACUCCUCUCUAGAGCUGGAAAGGAAAUCUUAAUUAAAAUUGUGGCACAAGCCAUACUUAAUUAUGCUAUGCAAGUUUACCUCCUCCCUCUCGACCUUUGCCGGGAUCUUGGAAGGAUGAUGAAUUCUUUUUGGUGGGGUAGUAAAAGAUACGAUAGUGGUGGAAUUAAGUGGAUGCAGUGGGGCAGACUUUGUAAGCCCAAAUCUUAUGGUGGUAUUGGAUUUAAACACAUUCAUAAAUUUAAUGUUGCUAUACUAGGGAGACAAGGCUGGAGGUUAAUUACAAAUCCAUCUUCGCUGGUGGGCAGAUUGUUUAAAGCAUGGUAUUAUCCUAAUGCAGAUUUCACUCAAGCAAAGUUGGGAAGUAAUCCGAGUUAUGCAUGGCAAUCGAUUUUGGCUGCUCAGAAGAUUUUAAUCCAAGGGAGUCGUGUCCAAGUUGGGAAUGGGCAGAGCAUUACUAUUGGCUCGGUUCCCUGGUUGCCUGAUCAGGAGAGUGGCUUUAUUACAACUAAUCUUCCAGCGAUGUUAGCAUCAGCUCCUGUGAGUAGUCUUAUGAUUCCUAAUCACCGAAUGUGGGAUUAUGACCUUGUAAAGGAUGUGUUCAACAGAAGAGAUCAAGACUGCAUUCUCCAAAUUCCUCUUAGCUCUCGGAGUAAUUGUGAUACUUGGUAUUGGCUCCCCGACGCAAAAGGAAUUUACACUGUUCGGAGCUGUUAUAAGUGGAUGGAUAUUAUAUCGGAACCGCCUGGCAGUGGAGUUUGGAGUAAGAUUUGGAAGCUGGCUGUGCCCGCCAAAAUCAAGAAUUUUCUUUGGAGAGCUGUGGCAAAUGUGGUUCCCACUGCUGAUAACCUUCUUAGUCGUCGAGUCGAGGUACACCCUUAUUGUACUAUCUGUAAUGCAUCUCUUGAGACAACUUAUCAUGUCUUAGUUGAUUGUCCUUUUGCCAAACAAUGCUGGAUGGUUUCCUUGGUUGGCUUUGCUAGAAAUUUUGUUAAUUUUGGAGCUUGGUUGGAUGCUCUAUUUAUUCGGUGUAGUAUUGAGGAUAGUUGUCUUGCUGCAAUGGUUUGUUGGGGUCUUUGGCAGAAUCAGAAUAAUAAAGUUUGGAACCAUGUAGUAGGCAAAGUGUCUCAAGUGCUCAAUAAAGCUGGUCAAGAUGUUCCAAUGGCAAAAGGCUCGUCAACUGAGUCACUUUACUCAGAUGCCAGCAGAUUUAACUCUUGGCUCUGUUUGCUGGAAACGCCCUCGCUUUGGAUGGUUUAAAUGCAAUGUGGGCGCUGCCACUUCCCGAGCUACUGCUAGGAUAAGCUACGGCGCAGUUAUUCGGUCUUCUGAGGGUAACUUUCUUGCUGCAAAAUGUGGUUCUUUGAUUGGAAUUUUUGAAGCUCGCGAGGCAGAGGCUUUGGGUGUGCGAGAGGUCUUGAGUUAGCUUAAGAACACCCAGUUUUUUCCUAUUAUUAUUGAGACUGAUUGUUUAUAAGUUUUUAAUGCUUUGAUUGACUCCAAGGACUAUCAGAACGGCUUUGGUCUUAUUAUUUCGGAUUGUAGAGCCUUGGCUCAUUGCUUAAAAUAGAUGACUUUCUCUUUUGUAAGGAGAUCUGCGAAUACUGCUGCCCAUAUUGUGGCUAAGGUGGAGUGUUCUUUGUCAGGUCCGAGUGAAUGGAGACAUGUUCCACCACCCUGGUUAUUUUCUCAUUUGUCUAUUUAAUGAAUUUCUUCUUUCUUCAAAAAAAAAAAGAGUCAAGACUAAUCAUUUUAGAGGCUAUUAGAGAAAAAAGAUUUGAAGAGGAGUCAUGUUAAAAAAUAUAAAUAAUACAUCAUACAAGAUCCUUAAACAUUAUUUGAUAUGUCAUUACAUUUAUAAAUGGCAAGUCAUUCAAUUUUCACUCUAGAGUAAAGAUUAUACAAAAUGUUAUCUGCCAUAAAACUAUAAACGACAUAUACCGUAUCUGAUGAAUUUCAGACAAGUAAUUUAACUCCAAGUAAGAAUCAACAACAUUUUACCUAUUUAGUAUCUUAAUUUCUUUUGAAUUCCAAUUGAUGUGACAUUUAUUUAUUAGAUGGUAAAUUAAAAAUUUCGUAAGUUAUGAAGUUCAUCAUAAUGAGUGUCAUAUAAUAUUAAGAGUCAUGUUGAAACUCAAAUAUUAAAACCCCUAACUUAGCUAAGUAACAUAAAAUUUAGAAACUCAUUAAAUAUGCAUAAAUGUUUAUAAUUAACUUAUUUUGCAGCUAAUUUUUCCAACUUGAAAACAUGUUAAUUCCAAAGGUCCCUUGAGAUGAAGAUUCCUAAUUUCACCUUAACCUUGGUGUGACAGUAAGCUUGACUUGAUAUCCUUAAAUGGUUAAACAACUAGAGCCUAUCAAAAUUAAUAGAACAAGUGUGAAAUACCUUCUCAAUAUACUGAAAUGAAUUCCUACCACUACAAAAUUUUAUAAUUCUCAUUGAAAUUAAAAAUCCCAAAAAUUUAACAAUAAUUCUUAAGACUUUGAAAACGAAUGAGCGGGAAACACUGAAACUUCAUACACAAAAUUCAAGUGCUUGUAGGUAUCUAAAAGUAUAAUAGCAGAUUAAGAAUGGGAUAGACUUCAUGGGCGAACUGGAACUCCAAUGGCUGGGCGUGGCGCUUGACCAGGCUGACCAGGCUUUGGCAAAUCAUCCUGAAAAGAAAAAGGGCAAAAAAAAAAAGAAAAAAUAUAUAUAAGAGCCAAUGAAGAAAAUUUUCAAGUACGCGAGCACAAACGAAUACCAUAUAAAACUGACAAGCUUAACCAUUUUUCAAAUGCUACAGAUAUCACACAGCAAUUAUCCCAAGACCAAAAACACAUCCUCAAUUUGGGCUUUUAGUUCUUGUAAAACAAAGGAAAAAGCUACCACACACAGACACAACACUGUCUCCUUUUUUUCCUCUUUCCUCCCGCACCACCCCUCCCCCCUUUCUCUUAGGUUAACUCAGAAUUAUGCAUUUUUAACAGGCUGAAUCAGGAUAUUACUACUAGCAAGGAAAUACUUAUGAUAAAGCACACUAGGUAAAAGGUCUAUCUGCCUACGUCUAUAACCCGUAAAUCACUCUAAAAAUCAAUAUGAACAGAGACCAUUAGCCAAAACCCAGAUUAAAAAAUCUCAAUAGAAACAUGAAAAAGAUACCCUGCAUCUCAUAAAACGCUUUGGUGGUUCACGGUUCCUGCGGUCAGUGCGUGAGUGAACCCUCACCACAUGCGAGUGAAUUGCACCAGAGACACACUACUGCAUCUUUGCAUACAACUUAGGCAGAACAUAGUCUGGAUCAAAUACAAAAGAUUCUCAUUAUUUCCCAUUCAAACAAUACAUAAUUAAUUACAAAAUAAGAGAAAUAAUAACAUGUGUGGCAGAUAUUUACUGUCAUAGAUGCAGGCAUCCUGCACGUCUCUAACAGCAGCUUGCUCAACAAUGUUCCUCACAAGGAAUCUCUUAAUGGCCUUGUCCUUUUCAUCCAUUCACAACCCAAAAUAAAAAAAAAAAAAUGUGUCAAAUUACAACAAACAAAAGGCAUAUUAAUUAAUUUUUAAAUGCAAACUUAACAUCAUUACAACAACUCUAGUCUAAUCUAACUGUAUGAUUUGACCAAUACAUCCGCAAAAUUUAUCAUGACACAAGUUUACAAAAAUAUGGAAGAAUUGAAAAAAUGAUUCUUCUUUCCCGUAAUGCCACACAAUUGCCUCAUUUGGGAGGGAAAAAUUCUCAAUGUCGUUCAUUUUUAUCAAAAAAAAAAAAAAAAACAGGGAAACAUAUAAUACUAAUAAUAAAAAAACAGAUACAAUUUUAAUUAAUGAAAGCGAUACAAAAAUAAAAACAAAAGUGUAUAUUUUGGGGCAGCAUUUGCCGUUCCGACGCUCGAAGGUCUGCCACAGAAAAAAAUAAAUAUAAUAAAUCAAAUUUAUAUUAAAUAAAAACAAUUCUUCUUUUUUCAAUAAUAAUAUUUUUGGAAAUCAGAAAGAUAAAACAUUUUCGCAAACCAUUCUGUUUUCUUCAAGGGAUGAUCUCCCCUUUCCAAUUUUUGACAACCACGCCUAACCCAAUCAUCAUUUCUUCUGAAGUUGACAUUGCUGCAUGAGUAAAAAGGAAUAUUGAAAUUGAAUUAAUAAUUUGGAAGAAUAUCAUAACGCAAUUAAACAAAAACUGAAUAUUUUAUCUUUCCUACUCUCUCAAUAAUUUUGACUGCAUACUUUUUCUGAAAAAAAAAAAAAAAAACUCAUAUCUAGAUUCAGUCACAAAGCCAAAUCUCUCUAAUCAUACGUCUAUAUUAAGAAACACAAAUAAGAGAUUCCAAGAACUUGGUAACACCCUUUUGGAAUAAUUGAUUCUGGAUUUUCAUACUUGGAUAAUGGCUUUUGCUUGGAUACCUCUCCAAUCACUCCAACCCUUUCACACAAUUGAUUGAAUUUCACUUGCUUGAUUUAUAUUACAUCGAGAUUUUGAGCCCGGCAUGGUUAAGGAGUUUUAAAAGUGUAAAAAAUUGGGUGAUUGAAAAAUGAUAGAGCUGAAAAUGAGGGAAAAUUUAGAAUUAUGGGAAUUUUAUUGGGGAAGAAAAAGUAUUUUAAACUCAAUGAUGGGGUGAUUAAGAAAUAGACUGAAUAAAAAAUAAAAAGAAUUUGAAUACCAUCACUCAAAUUUAAUUGUUUAUUAUUAAAAACAUUAACCGAUGAUUUCUAUUUAUAGAAAUAAUAUUUAAGUCCCACAAAUUUUUUUAUUUUUAACUAUUUGUAUCUUUUUCUAAAACUUAUUAUACUCAUAAGAUAUCAAUAAUUAAUGUUCAAAAUGACUUUUUCUAAAUAUUAAAACAAUUAUUAUUAUUAUUAUUAUUAUUAUUAUUAUUAUUUGUUGUAAUAUAGUGGUAGGGACAAAAAUCUAAGGGUGAAAAAAAAAUUGGUAUUUAAUAGAAUUUUCUGUGGCUAUGAUGACCCCAGCAUUAUCUCCAACAUUAUCUCCAACCAUUUUAAAGGUUGAAAUUACAAGAGAAGUCGUAUCGUAUCAAUGUACUAUGUUUAUCACAAUUGUUUAGCAACCACCAAAUUGGCCGUAUAAAGUCGUUGAUGAAUCAGAAAAAGAUACCAUUGUCGAAAACUUGGCCAUUGUGGUCCCUGAUGUAUAAAACUGACCAUAGGAUUAGCAAAGGUUUGUCAAUGAGCAGAACUUACGUUCACGUCAAGCACACUUAAAUGUUAUCUAUAUACUGUAUAGACAUUGCUCUGAACUAAACUCUUGAUUCAGAGUCCCCGAGUCGGCUGCAAAGGAAUGGCCAUGAAUAAUCUUUCAACAGAAUCGACUGCUGCUGUAGCAAUUUCAGCCUUAGUGAUAUUCCUCUCAAUUUUCCUCUUGAUUUCAAGAAAUGGGCGAAAAAGGACACUCAAGAAUAAGCAACGAGCACCAGUUGCAGGGGGAGCAUGGCCUUUGAUAGGCCACCUACAUCUCUUACAAGGGCCAGAGCCAGCUCACAGAGUUUUGGGGCGACCUGCAAAAGCUUUGUCAUUUGUGGUAAAACACUCCUUAGCAAUUUUCCAGUUGCUCACCACUAAAGCUUGUAUCACCCCCAAUUUCAUAGUGAAUAUUUGGGCAACCUGGCUGACAAAUAUGGAACAAUAUUCACUAUGAAGUUGGGGGUGAAACAAACUUUAGUGGUGAGUAACUGGAAAAUUGCUAAGGAGUGUUUUACCACAAAUGACAAAGCUUUUGCAGGUCGCCCCAAAACAAUGGCCGUAGAGCUUAUGGGGUACAACUUUUCGGUCAUAGGCUUCGCGCCAUAUGGCAAGUACUGGCGUCAGUCACGUAAGAUAGUGACAAUUGAGCUUCUGUCAAAUCGUCGCCUUGAGAAGCUCAAACACGUACGUGAAUCUGAAGUGAAGGCUUCAAUCCAGAGGUUAUACAAGAAUUGCAUAAGUAGCAGCAGUUCACGUAAAGUAGUUUCGGUGGAGAUGAUCCAUUGGCUCGAGGGCACAGUACUUGACAUUAUUUUGAGAAUAAUUGCCGGAAAACGUCACACUUCACAAUCAGAAGAGGCUAAUGAUUGGCAACAGCAAAUAACAAAGAUCGCUACCUUUUUUGGUCAGUUCGUGGUGUCCGAUGCGUUGCCAUUUCUGAGACGGUUAGAUAUCGGUGGAUAUGAGAGAUUAAUGAGCAUGACAGCUAAAUAUUGCGACAUCAUUUUGCAAGAAUGGGUGGAUGAGCACAAGAUGAAAAGAGUUUCUGGUGAAGUCAAGGGCGACGAGGAUUUCAUAUAUGUGUUGUUGUCCUUGCUUGAUGAUAAUGCAGAGCAGCUUCCUGAUCGCGAUGCUGACACUGUCAUUAAAGCAAUCUGCUUGGUAUAAUAUAACCUCGUGAAAAGCUUGUGGUGUGUUUGUGUUGUAUUGUUAUACGAAUGUCACAGAUUUCUUACUGCUUUUAAUUUGCAGACUCUAAUCGUAGGGGCUGCAGAGACCACAGUAGUUACAUUGACAUGAGCUAUUGCUUUACUUCUCAACAAUCCCGAGGUUCUGAAGAAGGCACAAGAUGAAUUAGACAUUCAGGUUGGUACUGAAAGGCCAGUGAAUGAAUCAGACACGAGAAAUUUGGUUUACUUGCAGGCCAUUAUCAAGGAAACGAUGCGUUUAUACCCUGCUGCACCACUAUUAGUACCUCACGAGUCUAUAGAAGAAUCCGUCGUCAAUGGUUACCACGUCCCUGCAGGCACCCAACUGUUUGUUAACGCCUGGAAGAUUCAACGCGAUCCAUGUGUUUGGGAGGAGCCAUGUCAAUUUCAGCCAGAAAGAUUUCUUACUAGGCAUAAGGAUAUUGAUGUUGGGGGACAAGAUUUUGAAUUGAUACCAUUUGGGAGUGGAAGAAGAAUGUGUCCUGCAGUGUCAUUUGGCCUCCAAGUUAUGCAGCUAAUGCUUGCUUCAAUAGUGCAUGGGUUUGAUUUUACAACCCCAUCAGAUGAACCGGUUGACAUGGGAGAGGCAAUGGGCCUGACCAUUGCUAAGGCUACUCCACUUGAAGUGCUUGUUAGUCCGCGCCUUUAUGCUUCUUUAUAUGGUUAAAAUUAGCUUGUGUAGUUGUUAAUGCAAAUAAUUAAGUUGUUCUUUUCAACAACUUAGUGAUAAGAUGCGUUUAUAUCAUUGGGUGUCAUCACUGUGCGUUUAGCACACUGCAUUACGUUAAAGGUGAGUUUGGCAUAUUAUACUACAUUGUAUUAUUUAACAUUUAGUAAGUUGCUUUUGACUGUAUUAUAUUAACAUUAUUUAUAUUAUGAUAAAGCACACUAGGUAAAAGGUCUAUCUGCCUACGUCUAUGACCCGUAAAUCACUCUAAAAAUCAAUAUGAACAGAGACCAUUAGCCAAACCCAGAUUAAAAAAUCUCAAUAGAAACAUGAAAAAUAUACGCUGCAUCUCAUAAAACGCUUUGGUGGUUCACGGUUCCUGCGGUCAGUGCGUGAGCGAACCCUCACCACAUGCGAGUGAAUUGCACAGGAGACACAGUACUGCAUCUUUGCAUACAACUUAGUCAGACAUAGUCUGGAUCAAAUACAAAAGAUUCCCAUUAUUUCCCAUUCAAACAAUACAUAAUUAAUUACAAAAUAAGAGAAAUAAUAACAUGUGUAGUAGAUAUUUACUAUCAUAGAUGCAGGCAUCCUGCACGUCUCUGACAGCAGCUUGCUCAACAAUGUUCCUCACAAGGAACCUCUUGAUGGCCUUGUCCUUUUCAUCCAUUCACAACCCAAAAUUUAAAAAAAAAAAAAAAAAUUGUGUCAAACUACAACAAACAAAAGGCAUAUAAAUUAAUUUUUAAAUGCAAACUUAACAUCAUUAAUUUUUAGUAACUUGGAAGUGAGAAGACGGAAUAAUUAAAUAAUAUUUGUGUUAUAAGAUAUGAUAAAAAUCAGAUGUCUAAUUGUAACUGGUAUUCCUAACCAUCGUGGUAGCGGGGAUGCGCGGAUACCAAUAAACAACUCUAGUCUAGUCUAACUGUAUGAUUUGACCAAUACAUCCGCAAAAUUUAUCAUGACACGAUUUUACAAAAAUAUGGAAGAACUGAAAAAAUGAAUCUUCUUUCCCGUAAUGCCACGCAAUUGCCUCAUUUGGGAGGGAAAAUUUCUCAAUGUUGUUCAUUUUUAUCAAAAUAAACAAAAAAAAGGGAAUCAUAUAAUACUAAUAAUAAAAAAACAGAUACAAUUUUAAUUAAUGAAAGCGAUACAAAAAUAAAAACAAAAGUGUAUACUUUGGGGCAGCAUUUGCCGUUCCGACGCUUGAAGGUCUGCCACAGAAAAAAAUAAAUAUAAUAAAUCAAAUUUAUAUUAAAUAAAAACAAUUCUUCUUUUUUCGAUAAUAAUAUUUUUGGAAAUCAGAAAGAUAAAACAUUUUCGCAAACCAUUCUGUUUUCACACAAAGCUAAUCAGAAAGAUAAAAUAUUUUUGACAACCACGCCUAACCCAAUCAUCAUUUCUUCUGAAGUUGACAUUGCUGCAUGAGUAAAAAAGAAUAUUGAAAUUGAAUUAUUAAUUUGGAAGAAUAUCAUAACGUAAUUAAACAAAAAACUGAAUAUUUUAUCUUUCCUACUCUCUCAAUAAUUUUGACUGCAUAAUUUUUCUGAAAAAAAAAAAAAAAAAAAAACUCAUAUCUAGAUUCAGUCACAAAGCCAAAUCUCUCUAAUCAUACCUCUAUAUUAAGAAACACAAAUAAGAGAUUCCAAGAACUUGUUAACACCCUUUUGGAAUGAUUGAUUCUAAGGGUGAAAAAAAAAAAAUUGGUAUUUAAUAGAAUUUUCGUAAUGACAAAAAGGAAAUGGACCCAAGUGAUAAAACAAUAUAAUUGAUGGACAAAAGAUCAUUUUUUAUUUGUGUUGCUGACACCGUAGUUUUGUUUACGCUUCCCGACCCAUAAUAUUCAAGUGCAGGUACUUUUGUCAUCCCAUAUAAAGUAAAUGAAGUUUACCAAGUCAAAAAGGUAGCUUUAAUCUUCAAGCAAUACAGCUGCAAAUUUCGAGUUUUCAAACUUUGAAUUUAUUUUUUUCUUUUUCAAACAUCCGGUACCUACCCUUGACAUAUUUUCCUCUCAAUUUUUUUUAUUCUUCCUCUGUUGUCUUCUUUCUUCAUUUUCCUAUGCCCGGCAUUGACAAAGCACACUUAAAUGUUAUCUAUAUACUGUAUAGACAUUGCUCUGAACUAAACUCUUCAUUCAGAGUCCCCGAGUCGGCUGCAAAGGAUUGGCCAUGAAUAAUCUUUCAACAGAAUCGACUGCUGCUGUAGCAAUUUCAGCCUUAGUGAUAUUCCUCUCAAUUUUCCUCUUGAUUUCAAGAAAUGGGCAAAAAAGGACACUCAAGAAUAAGCAAGCUCAACAAGCACCGGUAGCAGGGGGAGCAUGGCCUUUGAUAGGCCACCUACAUCUCUUACGAGGGCCAGAGCCAGCUCACAGAGUUUUGGGCAACCUGGCUGACAAAUAUGGAACAAUAUUCACUAUGAAGUUGGGGGUGAGACAAGCUUUAGUGGUGAGCAACUGGGAAAUUGCUAAGGAGUGUUUUACCACAAAUGACAAAGCUUUUGCAAGUCGCCCCAAAAGAAUGGCCGUAGAGCUUAUGGGGUACAACUUUUCGGUCAUAGGCUUCGCGCCAUAUGGCAAGUACUGGCGUCAGUCACGUAAGAUAGUGACAAUUGAGCUUCUGUCAAAUCGUCGCCUUGAGAAGCUCAAACACGUACGUGAAUCUGAAGUGAAGGCUUCAAUCCAUAGGUUAUACAAGAAUUGCAUAAGUAGCAGCAGUUCACGUAAAGUAGUUUCCGUGGAGAUGAUCCAUUGGAUCGAGGGCACAGUACUUGACAUUCUUUUGAGAAUAAUUGCCGGAAAACGUCACACUUCACAAUCAGAAGAGGCUAAUGAUUGGCAACAGCAAAUAACAAAGAUCGCUGCCUUGUUUGGUCAGUUCGUGGUGUCCGAUGCGUUGCCCUUUCUGAGACGGUUAGAUAUCGGUGGAUAUAAGAGAUUAAUGAGCAAGACAGCUAAAUAUUUUGACAUUAUUUUGCAAGAAUGGUUGGAUGAGCACAAGAUGAAAAGAGUUUCUGGUGAAGUUAAGGGUGACGAGGAUUUCAUAUAUGUGUUGUUGUCCCUACUUGAUGAUAAUGCAGAGCAGCUUCCUGAUCGCGAUGCUGACACUGUCGUUAAAGCAAUCUGCUUGGUAUAAUAUAUCCUCAUGAAAAGCUUGUGGUGUGUUUGUGUUGUAUUGUUAUACGAAUGUCACAGAUUUCUUACUGCUUUUAAUUUGCAGAGUCUAAUCGUAGCGGGUACACAGACCACAGUAGUUACAUUGACAUGGGCUAUUGCUUUACUUCUCAACAAUCCCGAGGUUCUGAAGAAGGCACAAGAUGAAAUAGACAUUCAGGUUGGUACUGAAAGGCCAGUGAAUGAAUCAGACACGAGAAAUUUGGUUUACUUGCAGGCCAUUAUCAAGGAAACAAUGCGUUUAUACCCUGCUGGACCACUUUUACUACCUCACGAGUGUAUAGAAGCAUGCAUCGUCAAUGGUUACCACGUCCCUGCAGGCACCCAACUGUUUGUUAACGCCUGGAAGAUUCAACGCGAUCCAUGUGUUUGGGAGGAGC
This 26859-nucleotide long non-coding RNA is filed under the name Citrus maxima (pomelo). Its description in RNAcentral is "long non-coding RNA (CMAX_LNC002971)". Lineage: Eukaryota; Viridiplantae; Streptophyta; Magnoliopsida; Sapindales; Rutaceae. The record is from RNAcentral.